UACGUAGGGACCAAGCGUUGUUCGGAUUUACUGGGCGUAAAGGGCGCGUAGGCGGCUUGACAAGUCACUUGUGAAAUCUCCGGGCUUAACUCGGAACGGCCAAGUGAAACUGUCAUGCUAGAGUGCAGAAGGGGCAAUCGGAAUUCUCGGUGUAGCGGUGAAAUGCGUAGAUAUCGAGAGGAACACCAGAGGUGAAGACGGGUUGCUGGGCCGACACUGACGCUGACAGCGCGAAAGCCAGGGGAGCAAACGGG
This 254-nucleotide ribosomal RNA is filed under the name uncultured bacterium. Its description in RNAcentral is "partial 16S ribosomal RNA". It matches the Rfam family "Bacterial small subunit ribosomal RNA", at positions 524 to 776 of the family's 1533-position model. The record is from RNAcentral.